GCAAGUCGACUGCAUUUAGUUGCAGGGCAGACGGGUGAGUAACACGUUGGUUAUCUGCCCCGAACUCAGGGAUAACACCGAGAAAUCGGUGAUAAUACCGGAUAGUCCCGCAAGGGUAAAGAUUUAUCGGUUCGGGAGGAGCCUGCGCAAUAUCAGCUUGUUGGUGAGGUAAUAGCUCACCAAGGCUAUGACGUUUAGCUGGUCUGAGAGGAUGAUCAGUCACAAUGGAACUGAGACACGGUCCAUACUCC
This 251-nucleotide ribosomal RNA is filed under the name uncultured bacterium. Its description in RNAcentral is "partial 16S ribosomal RNA". It matches the Rfam family "Bacterial small subunit ribosomal RNA", at positions 57 to 339 of the family's 1533-position model. The record is from RNAcentral.